Molecule: ribosomal RNA, 408 nt
Filed under: uncultured bacterium
Lineage: Bacteria
Description: bacterial SSU rRNA
Rfam family: Bacterial small subunit ribosomal RNA
Source: RNAcentral
GUGGGGAAUAUUGGGCAAUGGGCGAAAGCCUUACCCAGCAACGCCGCGUGAGGGAAGAAGGUUUUCGGAUUGUAAACCUCUGUCCUGGGGGACGAAGGAAGUGACGGUACCCCGGGAGGAAGCCCCGGCUAACUACGUGCCAGCAGCCGCGGUAAUACGUAGGGGGCGAGCGUUGUCCGGAAUUAUUGGGCGUAAAGGGCGCGUAGACGGCCGAGUAAGUUAUAGGUGAAAGCCCAUCUUUCAAGGAUGGAAUUGCCUGUAAUACUGCCUGGCUUGAGUGCAGGAGAGGGAAGCGGAAUUCCUAGUGUAGCGGUGAAAUGCGUAGAUAUUAGGAGGAACACCAGUGGCGAAGGCGGCUUUCUGGACUGUAACUGACGUUGAGGCGCGAAAGCGUGGGGAGCAAACAGG